This is a non-coding RNA of Podarcis lilfordi (Lilford's wall lizard), 74 nucleotides long. Lineage: Eukaryota; Metazoa; Chordata; Lepidosauria; Squamata; Lacertidae. The record is from the annotation of a GenBank genome assembly.
UACAUUGGCUCAGUCAGUAGAACAUGGGACUCUGAAUUUCAGGGUUGUGGGUAUGAGCCCCACGCUGGGCAAAA